This 288-nucleotide ribosomal RNA is filed under the name uncultured bacterium. Its description in RNAcentral is "partial 16S ribosomal RNA". It matches the Rfam family "Bacterial small subunit ribosomal RNA", at positions 28 to 314 of the family's 1533-position model. The record is from RNAcentral.
GACGAACGCUGGCGGCGUGCUUAACACAUGCAAGUCGAGCGGUAAGGCCCUUUCGGGGGUACGACGAGCGGCGAACGGGUGAGUAACACGUGGGUGACCUGCCCUCCAGCUCUGGGAGUAAAGCCUGGGAAACCGGGUCUAAUACUGGAUAUGACUCCAUGACGCAUGUUGUGGGGUGGAAAGCCUUGUGCGGCUGAGGAUGGGCCCGCGGCCUAUCAGCUUGUUGGUGGGGUGAGGCCUACCAAGGCGACGACGGGUAGCCGGCCUGAGAGGGCGACCGGCCACACU